ACUCCUACGGGAGGCAGCAGUGGGGAAUAUUGCACAAUGGGCGCAAGCCUGAUGCAGCCAUGCCGCGUGUAUGAAGAAGGCCUUCGGGUUGUAAAGUACUUUCAGCGGGGAGGAAGGCAAUACGGUUAAUAACCGUGUUGAUUGACGUUACCCGCAGAAGAAGCACCGGCUAACUCCGUGCCAGCAGCCGCGGUAAUACGGAGGGUGCAAGCGUUAAUCGGAAUUACUGGGCGUAAAGCGCACGCAGGCGGUCUGUCAAGUCGGAUGUGAAAUCCCCGGGCUCAACCUGGGAACUGCAUUCGAAACUGGCAGGCUUGAGUCUUGUAGAGGGGGGUAGAAUUCCAGGUGUAGCGGUGAAAUGCGUAGAGAUCUGGAGGAAUACCGGUGGCGAAGGCGGCCCCCUGGACAAAGACUGACGCUCAGGUGCGAAAGCGUGGGGAGCAAACAGGAUUAGAAACCCGAGUAGUCCC
RNAcentral lists this ribosomal RNA (470 nucleotides) under uncultured organism. RNAcentral describes it as "partial 16S ribosomal RNA". It matches the Rfam family "Bacterial small subunit ribosomal RNA", at positions 335 to 797 of the family's 1533-position model. The record is from RNAcentral.